GAUGAACGCUGGCGGCGUGCCUAAUACGUGCAAGUCGAGCGAACGGACGAGAAGCUUGCUUCUCUGAUGUUAGCGGCGGACGGGCGAGUAACACGUGGAUAACCUACCUAUAAGACUGGGAUAACUUCGGGAAACCGGAGCUAAUACCGGAUAAUAUUUUGAACCGCAUGGUUCAAAAGUGAAAGACGGUCUUGCUGUCACUUAUAGAUGGAUCCGCGCUGCAUUAGCUAGUUGGUAAGGUAACGGCUUACCAAGGCAACGAUGCAUAGCCGACCUGAGAGGGUGAUCGGCCACACUGGAACUGAGACACGGUCCAGACUCCUACGGGAAGCAGCAGUAGGGAAUCUUCCGCAAUGGGCGAAAGCCUGACGUAGCAACGCCGCGUGAGUGAUGAAGGUCUUCGGAUCGUAAAACUCUGUUAUUAGGGAAGAACAUAUGUGUAAGUAACUGUGCACAUCUUGACGGUACCUAAUCAGAAAGCCACGGCUAACUACGUG
Molecule: ribosomal RNA, 497 nt
Filed under: uncultured bacterium
Lineage: Bacteria
Description: partial 16S ribosomal RNA
Rfam family: Bacterial small subunit ribosomal RNA
Source: RNAcentral